GAUGAACGCUAGCGGCAGGCCUAAUACAUGCAAGUCGAGGGGCAGCGCGGUAGCAAUACUGGCGGCGACCGGCGCACGGGUGCGUAACACGUAUGCAACCUACCUUCAACUGGAGGAUAGCCCGGGGAAACUCGGAUUAAUACUCCAUAACACAGGGAUCCCGCAUGGGAAUAUUGUUAAAGCUACGGCGGUUGAAGAUGGGCAUGCGUUCGAUUAGCUAGUUGGUGUAGGUAACGGCUCACCAAGGCUACGAUCGAUAGGGGGUCUGAGAGGAUGAUCCCCCACACUGGUACUGAGAUACGGACCAGACUCCUACGGGAGGCAGCAGUAGGGAAUAUUGGUCAAUGGGCGCAAGCCUGAACCAGCCAUGCCGCGUGCAGGAAGAAGGGCCCCUCUGGGUUGUAAACUGCUUUUGAUAGGGAACAAAUGCCACUUGCGAGUGGAGCUGAGUGUACCUAUAGAAUAAGCCACGGCUAACUACGUGCCAGCAGCC
This 493-nucleotide ribosomal RNA is filed under the name uncultured bacterium. RNAcentral describes it as "bacterial SSU rRNA". It matches the Rfam family "Bacterial small subunit ribosomal RNA", at positions 28 to 516 of the family's 1533-position model. The record is from RNAcentral.